Long non-coding RNA from Peromyscus californicus insignis, 14603 nucleotides. RefSeq lists it as uncharacterized. The record is from RefSeq and is a predicted model, not a curated record. Lineage: Eukaryota; Metazoa; Chordata; Mammalia; Rodentia; Cricetidae. The transcript is spliced from 3 exons.
UGUCCCCUGACAUCCACACUCAGAUCACAGCACCUGCGCUCGUGUGUGUACACACACACACACACACACACACACACACACACACACACACACACACCCUCCAAUAAAAUCAAUAAAUGUAAACACAAAAGGUCUUCGACAAAACAGUGGCAGCUGUGACGAAUAUGUCAGCUUGCCGGGACCUAGGGGGAAAUCAGCUGAGCGCCAGCACUCACCCUUCUCUGGUUCCCGGCUGCAGAUGCGAUGUGACCAGCUGCCUCGCACUCCUGCCACCACGCCUUCCCCACCACGACGGACUGCACCCUCCAACUGUGAGCCAAAUAAACCCUUUCUUCCUUAAGUUUCUUUGUCAGCCAUUUUCUCCCAGCGAUGAAAAAAGACACCAAUUCAACAGCUCACACUUACUAAGCUCUGUGUGACGGGUACUGCUCUGAGCGUUUAAUGUUAUUCACUUAUCGAUCCUCAUAGGCACACAGCUUUAGGGUACCACUGUCAUCAUCCCAUCCAGCAGGUGAGUAGAAAGGUGUACAGAGAGGAAUGCAAACAUGUUUAGGGCUUCACAGUAAAUAGCAGAGCAAGACAGGAGCCCUGACAGUGGAGCCGAGACCCUGCUUCCCAACUUUGCUGCACAAGCCUGUCUGCCUUCCCUGCAAAGAUCCGAACAAGAGUGAUGGUUACUAGCCCCACCUCCCACCUACAGAUCCAGGGCAUGUCUUCCCAUGUACCUGCUCUUUGCUUCAUUGCCAAAGGCAUGUUUAAUCACCUGUCUAGCGUUUCCUUCCCAGUCGGCACUGUUAGGAGCCACAGAUGGGAAAUGGGACAGAUGACGGCAGAGGCAGUGAUGUCGGAGAUCAGAUCGACAACAGAGAAGGAACAGCUCUAACAAUUCCGUACGGCUGUCUCCUAGUCUACCAUUUCUUGCUUCUGCAGCCGGUCUCCGUGGCACCCUAAUGAGAGAGAAGAGAGAAAGGCAUGGCAGCAAACAAGACCAGCCUCUGCAGUUAUCACUGAACACCCACCGCGCAUGCGGUGGCCAGUGUUUCAGAGCCUGGGACCAAAAGAGAGAGCAGGCCUGCGAAGAAAAACAAACUCGAUCAAGACCCCAAGAUGGAAACAGCCACACCUUAGCAGAGUCAGCCCUUGCCUUCUUGAAGCUCAUCACAGUGAUGUUGGAGGUGAGACACACUUUCAGCAAGUCCUUUACAUGUGUGUACAAAGCGUGCCAUCACAGAGGAGAGCUGGGGCUUCUGGAUCAACAGCCAGCAUUAGCAAGUGGGUGUUUAGACAGCUUAGUCAGGGCUUGGGGGCUCAUUGCCCCAGUGGGACAGUAGUAGCACCCACUCAGAGGCAGGAAGGCGCCUCUAAGACUCCAACUUGGCCACUGGCCAGUCACUGUAGCUUGGGCAAGUUGCCUCUCCAGACCUCAGUCUUGCAUCUAGAAAGUGGGAAUGCUGCUACUUAGCUCUCAAGGUGCUGGGGAUGAGUGGAGUCCAACAGCCUCCAUAUGCUUCCCCUGGGGUCACAUCCCGUGCUGUGGCUUCUUCAUAAGGGUGGGGAGCCAGAUAAACAUGGUUGAAUCUGUAACCUGCUUACCUCCAUUCAUGCACUGAGAUAACAGCAUGGCUCUGUCAUCUCAUGGAUAGUCCUAACUAUCUGUAUCUCUUUGUAUCAUCUAUAGUCUAUGUAUGCAUUUGAGUGUUUACACAUGCUGCUGGUCUCAUCAUCCAUCCCCUGCUGACCUUUGCAUCCAUGUCCUGUCUUGUAUCUACAACUGGAGUUAUUCUAUUUUCUGGCUCCUUGAAGCCAGCAGGGGUGCAGGAAACUCACAAGAUGUCCUUGGGGAAGCUUCUAGACUUUGAGUGUGGUCUCCAGAUGACAAUGAGCACAGUACAGGGUCCCCAUUCAGAGAACUCUAGUAACAAUUUGAAGGAACACUGAGGGAACUCUUCCCCAAGCUCACCUCCAGAUGAGAAUAUGGCUGGUCAAUACCAGGACCACAGUUAGAUACCAAGCUUGAGCAGAGACCAGAAGAGGCUCUAGGACUCCUGCACAUAGACCUUGGGUCACAAUGUGCAUGUGAUGCUUUAGGCCAGAUACCAGUGGUGACUUGGUGAUGGCAUUUGCUGUGUAUAAGCAUUUCUUCCUGGAGGAAGAGUAGCUAAGAAUCAAGACAGUAAAUGAAACACACAAAUCUUAGGAAGUAAACAAAACUCACAAGGUUCAGGAAGCUCAUGAAACUUAGAGGAUUUACAAGGCUCCUCUCUGAGGUUGUAUCAGCAGUGCCAUAUUGAAGGGAGAGUGGGUGCUAAUCAGCUAGGCUGCUUGUGAGUCUUGCAGGGAGCUGUAGGGAUGUUGCUUUCAUGAACCAUCAUCCACCUCUCAUAUUGGGGUGGACUCUUUGGUGACACAGCUGAUUUUGAGUCACAUAUGCUCCUGUACAUAACCCCCAUAAACCCACUGAUUCACUUAGAUGAAGCUAGAAUUGGUUAUGAGCAUUUCUUUGGUUUGUUGGUGGUGCCUUAUUCAAGUGUCCCCAAGAAAUGUUAUUUAACAGUUGUAGAGGAUGACAGACCCCUUGUGGAGGGUCUGUCAUGCAAUGAUUUCUAAAACAUGGUGCAGGGCAUGGAAGAAGGCAGGUGGGCUAAGUCACCCUGGCCUCUGGCUGCCCUCCUCAAACCCACAGAAGCAAGGGUUCCAAGAGACUCUGGCCUUCUACAAUGUUGGUCUCGCUAAGGUGCCUGACUUUGGAAUGAGAAAUGCCUCUGAGAGCCUCUCCAGAAGGGCAGACACUCCAAACUCUGGGCUCUGGGCUCACAGGCUCCAAGGCUGACAGCUUCUAGAUGGUACGCCCCUUAUCUGUCAGGACUGGGGACAGCAGUGUCAAGAGCUGUAACUGUCUCUGUCCCCAUUCCCGCCUGAUGUUGAGCUGAGUGGAGACUCUCGGGCCCUGCAUGGCAUGCAGGAAGCAAAGCUCAGGCUUCACUGUCUGCCUUGAAUGACACAUGCCACUGCCAGGUUCUGCUAGCCCCUUCUGUAGCCAGGAAGGGGACCAGUAUGUGUUCAGGGUCUGCAAUUUACUUUCAGUAACACGGCUGAAGCGGUUUCUGUGUCCCUGAGAGUCAGGAAAUUACUCCUUUUCUUGUUCCCACAUGCAUUUGUACACCACCCAAACCCAUUCCAAUCAAUUCAGAACCUCCUGGGCCCCCAGUUUUGUCCCCAUCACAGAGAAUCCAAGAUUAAUUCCAGAGACUUGUUGGAAGACUAGCAUUCCUAUUAUUGUCAAGAAUAUUACAAACGGGGGUUGGGGGUGAGGGCUGGGGAGCUGGCUCAGGUGGUAAAGUGCUUGACAUGCCAACAUAAGGUCCUGAUGCUGACCCCUAGAACUCAUGUGAAAAGCUGGACUUGGUGGCACAUGCUUGUAAUCCCAGUGCUGGGGAGCUGGAGACAGGAGGAUCUCCGACAUUCACUAGCCAGCCAGCCUAGCCUACCAACAACGUGGGCGGCUUCUGAGGAACCACACACCUGAGAUUGACCUCUGGCAUCUACAUACAUGUACAUAUAGAUACAUGUGCACCCCCCCCAACAAUGUACCUGACCUCCUUUCCCCCAAGAAAGCAUACCUUGAACAAGUUCCACGGUGUAGAAAGCAGGACUGUGCAGGUAUAUGGCACAUCCCAUUUAAUCCCUUCUAUUCUGGGUGACUACAGCAGUUCCUGUGAGGUGUUUUGGACAGUGUCUAGCACCCAGAAUGGCUUCCUGCUCAAGUAGAGGACUUCACUGAUUGUGGUACCCACUGUUGUGGCCUCGGCUUGCAUUGUGUGACCCUUCCAGUGACCUGCAGAACACUGCUCUGGGAUUUUAUUGAUGCAUGGGGAGGGGUCUGAACAGGCCCACAUUAUCAGUCCCUGACUCACAGGCUGACAUAUGACAUAGGCAACUGACAGUCCAGGGCUCACUGCCGGGUGUGAAGGACUCACGAGGUACCCACCUUACCCCCUGGUGGUCUACUGGAUUCAAGUGGCUUUAGAAGGAGCAGGUACCAGGAGCCUGUGGAGCCAGGGCCACUGACAGUGUAUUCACACUCUGCCCCUGACCAGACCAGGCUGGUCCAAUUGUCCGCAGCUUCUCUUCCUGGACAGGGAGGCUGGUCUCCUGUGGUUUGAAGACCUGGCAGAGGCUGGCAGUGGGGAGCAGGGAAGACACAGCCAUUGACGGGAUUGCGGCAUUUGCUCUCUUGCUAUCACAGGACAUGGUCGCCUCAGCUCCAGAGAAAACAUGCCCUGGCCGUCAGGGUUGAAGGGCCUAGAUGAAGUGUGCUCCUAGGGGCUAGUGAUGCACUUUGUACAAUGCACAUAGCGGGGUGGGUCCUAAUGACCUCUGAGCCCUGUGACCUCUAUGCCCUGCGACCUCUGAGCCAUCGAUGCAGAAUCUAUCUCCCCAGAGCUCUCAAACAACUGCUGAUUGAUUUUGCUCUCAAGCCUGCUGAGCUGGACAGGUGGGUGGGGAUGGCCUGUCAUAGCUACACAUGGUGGCUGGAAGACACGCUUGCCAGACAGCUCAGUCACCCGGCUGUCCACUGAGACGCUUUCCCUGUGGUCCUCUGUAGGCUGGGAUUUCCUUCCAACCUGGUGCCUGAGUUCCAGUGUGGUAACCCAGAGUCUGAGGCCCCAGAAUGCAUUUCUGUUCCAUGCAAUGUCUAGCAUCAGUGAAGCUAAUCUAGCUUCAAGGGGAGAAACAGUCUACCUCUCCAUGGGAACAAUAACAAAGAGUGUGUGGCCAUCUUCAGUCACCCACAUCCAUUCUACGGAUGAGGAGUCGGAGGUCUCAGUGGCCUCCGGGACUUUCUCAGACUGAGCAGCAGAAAUCCAAACCAGAACUCAGAUCUGAGUCAGCUCCAAGAACCAGCCCUUCCGACUCAGCAAGCUGAUGUGGAUGGUUGGUUGGCUUUGCUAACAGGGCGUACCUUCAGAAAUAGGCCCAGCAAGGCCAUUAAAAAUAAGGCAGUGUUUGAGUUUCCUAAGAUGGUUUGAAUUUCCCAAAGCAUUCCGUUUCUCUCUGAAAGCCAAACUUGGGCUGUCUACACGGGCAGCUAAGACUUCAUCGGAGCAAACCUCAGGCUCAGGCGAAGAAUGUGAGGUGGAACAGAGGGGCAGUCCCUGAACUUGAACUUCCCUUCUCUUUGUCAAGUAUUUUUAUGUCAGCGUACCUUCACUGGGCCAGCUGGAGACAGGGUUGCGCCUUGUGCGUAAAGAAAUAGGUGCAGGCUGGGCAGUGGUGGUUCACACCUUUAAUCCUAGCACUUGGAAGGCAGAGGCAGGCGGUUACUGAGGAACCACACAAGGAAAUCACCUCAGGGUUGAAGGGGAUUGAAACCUCGCAUGGACUCCGCUCUCCAAGACUGGGUCAUCUGCAAUCUGGAUGCCAGCCGUGAAGUUAUACAAGGUGGCCAGUGGAGCCUGGCUGGCCCCAGGAGACAAAUACCUUCCAAACAAAGGCAUCUGAGUAUCGCAAGGAAAGGUUGAACAUUUCAAGGGGAAGAUGGAGAAGAUUUCACAAAGCCCAGCAUCUCUGCUAACUACAUAUAUAUUGGGACAGGGUCGUGUGUAUCCCUGGCUGGCCCCCACACCCUGGCCAACUGUUUGUAGAUACUAGUACUUGGACUAGGGGAGGGCUUUGCCGUUGCCUCAGCCUCUCAUUCAAGGAAGGUCUUGCCACUCCCACGGGUCUGAGGCACUGGGGUCCUUGACAUGGCUGGGCCCAUGUCCAACCCUCAGGGCUUCAUGAGCGCUUUAUACAGUCACUCAAUAGUGAGACCCUGACUCAAAACCACAACACCCCCCCCCCAAACCAACACUAAAAGCAAAACAUGCCUUCAACAUGGUGACAUUUAAAAAAGAUGUUGAAGAUUUGAUGCCAUCGUGUGUAAUGUGACUGGGGGUGUUGCUCAGCGGUAGAGUGGGUAAGCUUGACAUAUGCAGGACUCUGGGUUCCACCCUCAGCAGCAAGAUAAAUAAACAAGGAAAGGAAAUUAAAAACUGUACAAAAACGAAAAUUGAGCCACAAAGCACUGAAUAUUAAUUCUUAUCAGCCAACUAAGCUUUGAAGUGGAGUCGUGUAAAAUACCAGUUCACUGUUGGGUCUUGCAGAAGCCAUGGCAUUGGUAUCAGGUACCGCUAAGUAGUUGGGAAAGCUGCAUUCCCAGGGUAUGAGUCUGAAUGGUUUUACUCCUUCUCUGACAUUCCCACCCUCCUAUGAUUUAUUUGUGUAGAGUCAUCUUGUGAAUUUCCCUGGAAUGAGAGUCAAAGUCUGAGGCUUGAUUUAUAGAGAGGUUCAACACAUUUGGAAACAAUGAACUCUGUUGCGUAAACACGUAAGAGCCAGGACAGAAAGCUGAAUCCCUGAUUGUGGCCACAGAGGGUGGGGAAGGGAGGCCGCCAGAAUCUUGUUCAGUUCUUGAGUUUUCUUACAGUUGUCUGGAGAGCCAGGGCAGGGGAAUUCCUGGGGGCCAUGGUUCCCGUAGCUGCUCUCAGGGAGCGGGAGAUGGCUGUUGAGAGGCUGGGAUUGUGGUUUCUUUCUGGAAAGAGGAAGAAAUAGUUUGGAGGCCACCACCAAAGAACAGCUGCUUCAUAGCUCUACAGAGUGGAAAAGAUAGGAAUUCCCUGGGAUCUUGGAGGCCUUGGGUCCUCGAUGGGACAAGUCAGCCUAGAUGCUCUGAUGAGUGCCAGGACUCCCUGGCUGACUUGUACUGUCAGGUUCAGCUGUGGAGGCCAAGUUCCUCCUGAGUCAGUUUUCCUGGGCAAUGGGUGCACUGUAGUCCCAGCUUCUUUAAGCUAUCCUUGAAUCCUGGGGGAGGGGCAGGCUCAUGUCCCCCACACAAGCCCUUGUGUGUUGGUCCACUCCUUGCACAUGGUCUGAGACGGGCUCUUGUUCAUUGCUUUAAAUACCAGGUCAGCUAGUCUGUGAGAUUCUGGGAAUUCUGUCUCCACCUCCUAUCAUGCCCCAGGAGAUCUGGGAUUACAGAUGGGCAUGGGCACAGCCAGCUUUGCGUGGGUUCUGGGGAUCUAGCUUGGGACAAGGAAGCCCUAAGAUGGAUCCUGCCUUGCUCUUGGACUUUGCUGCACCCAAGCUUCCUUCUUCAUUGAGUUCAAGAGAUUGAGAACAGGAACUGCCCAUCUGGAUAUCUGGAGCAGAAUGGGUACCUGUUAAAUCACUUCCCCUGGGAACCCCUAAGGGACAUCUUUAGCAGGCAUGUCCAACUUGCAGUGCACAGGCCACAGAUAUUCCAGGAUAGCAGUGACUAUAGCUACAAUGGAUGACAAUGUCAUAUUACAAUGUUAAAUGGCUGGACCACACUUGCAUCGAAUGCAUUUAUCCAGCAUGCAUAAGUUGAAGUCUUACUGUGUGCCAUGCACUGAUCAGGGGUCAGUGACACUUCAAGGAGGAAGACAGGUCUGCUCUUGAUUUAAAAGAAAGAGCCGUGCAGCAAUGGCGCAUGCCUUUAAUCCCAGCACUUGGGAGGCAGAGCCAGGUGGAUCUCCGUGAGUUCGAAGCCAGCCUGGUCUACAGAGCAAGAUCCAGGACAGGCACCAAAACUACACAGAGAAACCCUGCUUCGAACCCCUCCCUCACAAAAAAGACUUAUAAGCCGGGACUAAGCAUAGGCAGUAAUAACCGAACAGACCAUCUAAGACAAGGCCAGGGAGUGGGAAGGAUCAUGAAGGAAAAGCAAGAGGGCUAGAGUGAUGUCUUAGUGGGUAAGGCUCUUGCCUGCAAGCAGGACGACUUGAGUUUGAAUCCCCAGAACCCAUGUAAAGCUGGCUGUGCCUAUGCACAUCUGUAAUCCCAGAUCUUCUGCAGCAUUAUGGGAGGUGGAGACAGAAAUCCCAGAAUCUUACAGGCUACCUAACCUGGCAUAUAAAUAAAGCAGUGAACAAGAGCCCCUGUCUCAAAUAAGACAGCAGAAGGGGACCAACACACAAGAACGUCCUUUGACCCCAUACAUAUGCCAUCUCCCCUCACAGGAUUAAAGGAAACCAUAGGGUGACAGAAGAACAUAAAGACAAUUAAGCAAGAUACAGAAGGAGAGAGAUGUAGGCGGGUGGGUGCUACCUCAGGAGAGGUGGUCAAGGAAGGAGGCCAGACUCUCCUCUAAGGUGCCUUAGCCUCUGUGCCUAUGAUUCCCUAGACCAAAGGUUCCCAUCUGGGGGUGAUUUUUCAGCUCAGAGGAUAUUAAUAAUGACUGUCUAGAGAUGUUAUUUCCAGGAGAAAUAGGUGACUCCUAGCAUAUGGUAGGAGGGACCAAGGAUGAUCCCACUCCCAAUGUCAAUAGUGUUGAGGUUGAGACAUAUUGAGUUUACUGCCAGACCACAGGCCAGAGUCAGCUCUGAGCCCAGGCUCUUCCUCUCUCUUUGAGCAGGGAGGUAUUUAUGAUGGGAUAUGAAAAAGGUUCUGCAAUCAUGUGGAGAGAUGAUGAAUCAGGCUCUCAGGAUGACUCUCAAAGCCACAGCCCUGGAACAAGCCACCAGAGGAAUGACUGCCUCUCUCAGCCCCCUCCAGCCGCUGUAGGGCAUCCUCUCACGUACCCAAAACAGAGUGAUAAUUAAAAGAUUGUCCUUUAAAAUGUAUAACUCACAAGUUUUCAACAUAUUCACUAAGGUGUACAAACAUCACCACUACCUAUGUCUAGUUCAAUUUUAAUUUUGAGACAAGGUAUCACGUAGCCCAGGCUAGCCUUGAACUUGUUAUGUACCUGAGGCUGGGCUUGAUCUUCCUAUCUCUACCUCUAGAGUUCUAAGAUUACAGGCAUAUGUGAUGCUGGAGGGCCUUAUGCAUGCUGGCAAGCACUUGACCAACUGAGCCACAUCCCUAGUCUGCUCACAACAUUUUAAUCACUACCCUGCCCUCCCCGCUCAAAACAGCAAUUACCCAUUAGUCCCUCUUCUUCCCUCUUCUCCCAGGCCCCAGCAAUCUACUUUUUCUCUCUAGGCAUUGCUUGUAAAUGGAAUCACACAAGUUGUGUGCUGUGACAGAUUUUCCAUACAGUGUUUCAAGUUCAUCCCAUGUGGUAGCAUGGGUUAACCUUUCAUUCAUUCCUAUGGGAGAACAAUACUUCAUUGACUGAAAUACUGUUUCCUGUGAGCAUUCAUCCAUUGAUGAGCAUCUAAGUUGCUAGCACCUCUGGCUAUUUGAACAUUCAUGGCCAAGUUUGUGCAGACUGAGGCUUUCACACUCGUGGAUCCACAUACAGUAGCAGGAUGGUGGGGUGUCUGCGGGUCUUGGUUUUGUGAUCAUAAACCUGGGAGAUCUGUCUGGCUGGUUUUGGGAUCCUUAUGAGUUGAGAUUCUGGGCCACCUCAGUCCCCAACUGUUUCCCAUGAGGCAUGCUUUGAACUUCCAUCCUAGACACAAUAUGCCCCAAUCCUGGGAGGGCUUUCCUAUACCCAGCCUGAGUUCCCACGCACACAGCCUCACUAUGUCCAUCGACAAGCUGACACUGACUUCUCAAUCCUUAGAAAUUUGACAGUGUCUUUGGGGGACAUCUACCAGCUAAUCUUCUUCUAUUAUCAUAUCAAGAUGGGGAAACAAAUUCUGACUGUACUCUCCAAGGCUUCCUUAAAAUACUGAGUACAGUUGAAGCUAAACUGCAUAUUUUUAAAAAAGUUAAAAUUGGGACUGGAGAGAUGGCUCAGCAAUUAAGAGCAAUGGCUGUUGUCUUCGUUAGGGUUUUUUAUUGCUGUGAAGAGACACCAUGACCACAGCAACUCUUAUGAAGAAAAACAUUUAAUUGAGGGGGCAGCUUCCAGUUUCAGAGGUUCAGUCCACUAUCAUCAUGACUGGGAACACAUGGUGUUUAGGCAGACAUGGUGCUGGAGUUGAGAGUGCUAUAUCCUGCAGGCAACAGGAAGUCAACCGAGACACUUAGUGGUAUCCUGAGCAUAGGAAACCUCAAAGCCCACCCCACAGUGACACACUUCCUCCAACAAGGCCACACCCACUCCAGCUGAGCCACACCUCCUAAUAGUGCCACUCCCUAUGAGAGUAUGGGGGCCAAUUACAUUCAAACUACCACAGUUGCUCUUCCAGAGAACCCAAGUUCUGUUCCCAGCACCCACAUGGGGUUCACAAGCAUCUAUAGCCACUUCUGGAGACCUGACACCCUCUUCAGGUCUCCCUAGGUACUGCAUGCAUAUGAUGCACAUGCAGUCAAAACAUUCAUAUACACAUAAAAUAGAUAAAUCUUAGAAAAAAGUUAUAAUUAUGAACAAGACUACUAUUUUUCAAAGAAAAUGUUUUUCAGGGGUUUCUUUCUUUCUUUCUUUCUUUCUUUCUUUUUUUUUUGCGACAAGGUUUCUCUGUGUAGUUUUGGUGCCUGUCCUGGAUCUCACUCUGUACACCAGGCUGGCCUUGAACUCACAGAGAUUCACCUGGCUCUGCCUCCCGAGUGCUGGGAUUAAAGGCGUGUGCCACCACCGCCCAGCUCAGGGGUUUCUUUAUGAAAGUCAAGUCAUUUGUUCAUUGUAAUCUGAGCCCCGUCCUUAGUGAGGAUGGUUGCUUUAAGGACACCAACUUGAUCCGCUUAAGCUAAUGGUGUAGGAGGUAAUAACACCCCACCAUUGCAGAGCUAGCCCUGGAGCGGCCACUUCUGAUCAUUUUAACAACCAGACUGAUCCCUCUAAACACGGAAUGGAAGUUACCCUCAACCCUGGGAGCAUGUUUCCAAUCAUUUAUUGCGGACUGCGUCAGUUUUUGGGGUUUGAUCGUUUAUGAGCUGCACACUCAGCCGAAGAGGGCUUCCCACACUGGCUAGCAUGAACAGCGACUGCACAGCAGCCAAGAGGCAGACUGAGUGGACAGAAGGGUUGACAAUAACGUUUCAGCCAUCCCAGCCCUCAAGCGAGUCAGCAGAUGGAAGUUGUCUGACCGCAACAAACAUUUAUUGCACAUUUUCUUCAAACACAUGAUGCAUACUUAGACAGAGCUCAGUAUUAAGAGGGUGUAUUGGUCAGGGUAGGCUACGUUAUGCUGCAGUAACAAACAGCCCCACCAAGUGUCGGAGGUCUUCAAUAACAGCUCCUUACUCUUACUGGGGCUCCAUUCAUCUGACCUCACUAAGGGAGUUAAGCUUUCCUCUGAGGACUGUUGACCAGAGAGAAGAGGUAUUUCCGGGCUGGCUUUGUUGUUUGGUUGCCAUGCUACCUAAUUAAUUUCUACUCUACAGUCAGAGGGUUUCAUGUAACAUGAGCUCCCCACUAAGAAGCUGUGUAAAGGAAUGACCAUGCUUUCUUCUACUUUCCCAGACUGCUCUGCUGUCUCAGGGCCAGGCAUGGAGCAGGCAACCCAAAUCGUCAAGGACAGAGGACGCACAGACAGAGCUGCACACAGGGGUUUGAAUCCUGUGUCUGCUGCUCUUGAGCUGUGAGACAUGCACAGUUUUCUUAAUUUCUCUGUGUCUCACUUUUCUCACUUAUAGAGUGGAAAAUAAUCAUGCCCCCUCCUGGUAUACGAGGUGACCCGAUGCCUGUGACAUGCUAAGUAGGUCUUUUGGCCUAUCACCGGUACUGUUUGUUUUUGAUAAGUGAAUAGUGGUGACUGGUGCCUUCUCAGCAUCGAUUUAGGGUAUGAACUCAGCACUGCCCCCCCAUGUUUUAUUGUCUUCACAGCUCAAUAUGACAAUGGCCAUUUUACAGAUAUGGAAACUGAGGCCAGGAGCGGUAACUUAUCCAGGAUCCCUAACUAUAGUCAUGUGUUGCUUACUGAUAGGGAUACAUUCUGGGAAAUUUAUGUGUGCGAGUUUUUUGUUUUUGUUUUGUUUUUGUUUUUUUUUUGUGUGUGCAAAUAUUAGACACAAAAUAAGACAGCCAUGAUGUCAUGGGGUCAUGUGAAUCAGCAUUUAUGGUGAUAUCAUCAGACAUGGGGUACAUUUUCAAAGGCUAAAAUGUUCUACAGUGAGUGACUUCGUCAGAAAUGGAGCCAGAAUCUGGAUCCAGAUCUUUCUGACCCUGGGGCUGACACCCUGCCUUGGAAGAGCAGAACUUCUCUUUGCAGAAUUCAGCCAACAGGCAGGGGCAGAAAGCACGUCUGCCCCCUCCCAUCCUCAUGUGAUGGGAGUCUUACUAUGCAGCCCAGGCUGACCUUCAACUCUCACUGGUCCUCCUGCAUUGACUCUGGAGUGUGGGGUUCCAGGCAUGCGUCACCACGCUUGGUUGCCCACUUUUCUUGGCUCAGUAUGUUGCAGUCUCUGUCAUCAGCCACCGCUUCACAUGCUUGGCUCUGAGAGGAGACUCCCCGGUCCUCUCACCUCUCACUUUCCUUGGAGUCCUGUCUCUGGGAAUGGCUCUCAGCAUCCAGCAGCCCCCACCACCCUUUAGUGCUUCUUGGGUAAAAUAAUUCAGCAGAGGCCAGAGACACUCCUCCUCAUCGCCUGCAUGUGUUACCCAAGUGGCUGCCAUGUGGUCCACCCAACCUCUUGGCCCAUGGCACUAUGUUUAAGCCCAGAAUCCUGUUGUCUGGCUCCUGACAGGGCAGCUGUGUGUGGAGCUGACUUAGGUGUUUCCUCUCUUGACCUCAGUCUUAUUUGGGGGGUGGCUGGAGUUGGGGGUGAGAGCAGUCUCUUUCGGCCUCCUUCUUCCUUGGUUUAGUUCAGAUCUUUCUUGAUUGUUUUCCUGGGCUGAGGACUACAUGAAUGAGGUGCCAAGGCCAGUUCCGCCAGUGAACACCCGUGAAGCAGCUUCCGUGUCAUCACACUCAAGAAUGAUGGACAGUCAUUCCCCAAGACAUGCUCACAUGUCUAGCAGAGCCCAACAGAGGGUUUGGUGUAGCAGAAAUGCACGCUGCCCUCUCCUGUAGAUUCAGGGCUGUCCAAGGGUCAGCGAGUCCCCCAAAAGUUUAGCAUACACCCACUGUGUGUGCCAGGCUCUGUUCUAGGUACUGGGAGAACAUCUGUCAAGACAAGGUCCCACAUCUGCAGAGCUCACAUCCAGGCAGGGGGAGACAGGUCUGUUACAGGCUAUCCGAAGUUGGGACAAAGAUACCACACAUGGUCUCACUCAGAGGCAGCCUGAAGUCUGAAAGCAGGGGCCUGGGGUAGGGGUUGCAGCUCAGCAGGUAGAUGCUUGUCUAGCAUGCACGGGGCCCUGGGUCUAUCUCCUGCACUGCAUGGUUGUACACCCCUGUCAUUCCAACAUUUGAGGGGAAUUGAGGCAGGAGGACUGGAAGUUCAAGGUUAACCUCAGCUACAUAGUGAGUGAGAGGCUAAUCUGUGCAGAAGCCUGACCUCUGGAUGGGAAAACACAGGUUGGGGGUAGGGUAUCUGAGGCAGGCAGGGCUGUCCUGGACUAAGGCUUUUGGAGGCUUGUUUGCAGGUGUGUGGUACUGGGGUGUCGGGCACUACAGGCCUCCAAAGAGAGAAGGGGCCUGGGCCAGCACCAGCUGAAUGCUGGGAAGGAGCCUGCCUGGCAUUUCCCCUGUGCUGAGGGGUCGGGGUGGGGGGAGAAGAGGUGGAUCCAGGAGAGAAGGAGGGGGUUCGUUGGGAAGGGGGUCUCCCCACGGGGUGGAGAGAGGACCCAAACAUGGAAGCAACUGUGGACAGAGGAACAGCAGGGAGACCAGAGGGCCUGCGGAGAGUCCACUGACAGCUGCUGAGGUUCUGUUGCACUCUGGUUCUGGAGAAAGCUAGAAUCCCUGCGGCCCCUCCCUCCCCACAGGAUCCUGUGACAUGAGGACCCCUGGCUGACCCCAGACAGCAGGGCGCCUCAAGUAGCCUGCCGGAGAGUGAGUCUAGGAUGGCCCUCCAUGCCAGGCUGUGUCCUAGGGACCGGGCAGAGAACAGUGGAGGCCUGGGUGAGGUUCGGCAAAUGCCACUGAUAUAAUGACUUGUGAACAAAAGGUCAGGCCCAAGGCACGAUGUUUGAUUACACAGAGAAAACCAAUCUCGUUUUUAAUUUCCUCAGGUGGAGUGCGGGCCGUGUGGGUUCACAGGGUGCUGGUGAUGGAGGAGAGGCAGCCUGGGCCGGGGUGGGGGGGGAAUCACUUGCCAGAGGGCCACCCAGAGGACACUUCCGUGGACAUCAAGUACAGAUGAGUCUUUAGCCAUAGACAGCAGGGGAAAGAGGAAGAACAAAGCAAAGGAUUUGGGGAGACUUACUCUGCACCCCAGCACUGUUCAGCACUCAGUAUUCAGCACUUUAAGUCUUCACAAUGGCUGGAACUGGGUCCUCCCAGUAGUCUCAUCUCUGGUUUGUAGCCAAGCACAGAAAUGCAGAGAGGAGCUAAGUAAGUGGUCCCAGGCCACACAGCUAAAACAGGUGGGAGAGCUGGGUCGAAGACGUCGAGGCAGAUCCUGGCUCUCCGUCCUUCCUUCACUGUUAGCAGAGCCGACAGGGUCAAAGCGUGCACCCUGGCAGUCCUAGCUAGCUAGGUCUGGCCACCUGUCCCCUGCAGGCCAAUUAAAGGCACAAGUCAUAGUGAAAAGCAGGGAAAGGAGGUUUAUUCAGUGUGGCCACAUUCAGGAGAGGAACAGAUAACAGAGAGAUCCAGCCAGGCAGUGGUGGUGCGCGCCUUUAAUCCCAGGCGGAUCUCCGUGAAUUUGAGGCCAGCCUGGUCUAC